AACGAACGCUGGCGGCAGGCUUAACACAUGCAAGUCGAACGCAUCCUUCGGGGUGAGUGGCAGACGGGUGAGUAACGCGUGGGAACGUGCCCUUCAGUUCGGGAUAACCCAGGGAAACUUGGGCUAAUACCGGAUACGUGCGAGAGCAGAAAGAUUUAUCGCUGAAGGAUCGGCCCGCGUCUGAUUAGCUAGUUGGUGGGGUAAUGGCCCACCAAGGCGACGAUCAGUAGCUGGUCUGAGAGGAUGAUCAGCCACAUUGGGACUGAGACACGGCCCAAACUCCUACGGGAGGCAGCAGUGGGGAAUAUUGGACAAUGGGCGCAAGCCUGAUCCAGCCAUGCCGCGUGAGUGAUGAGGGCCUUAGGGUUGUAAAGCUCUUUCGUCCGGGACGAUAAUGACGGUACCGGAAGAAGAAGCCUCGGCUAACUUCGUGCCAGCAGCCGCCGCAG
Molecule: ribosomal RNA, 449 nt
Filed under: uncultured bacterium
Lineage: Bacteria
Description: partial 16S ribosomal RNA
Rfam family: Bacterial small subunit ribosomal RNA
Source: RNAcentral